CGAACGGGUGAGUAACGCGUGAGGAACCUGCCUCAAAGAGGGGGACAACAGUUGGAAACGACUGCUAAUACCGCAUAAGCCCACAGCUCGGCAUCGAGCAGAGGGAAAAGGAGUGAUCCGCUUUGAGAUGGCCUCGCGUCCGAUUAGCUGGUUGGUGAGGUAACGGCCCACCAAGGCGACGAUCGGUAGCCGGACUGAGAGGUUGAACGGCCACAUUGGGACUGAGACACGGCCCAGACUCCUACGGGAGGCAGCAUG
Molecule: ribosomal RNA, 258 nt
Filed under: uncultured bacterium
Lineage: Bacteria
Description: partial 16S ribosomal RNA
Rfam family: Bacterial small subunit ribosomal RNA
Source: RNAcentral